UACGUAGGUGGCAAGCGUUGUCCGGAAUUACUGGGUGUAAAGGGAGCGCAGGCGGAACUGCAAGUUGGGUGUUUAAUCUACGGGCUCAACCCGUAUCAGCAUUCAAAACUGUGGUUCUUGAGUAAUGCAGAGGUAGGCGGAAUUCCCGGUGUAGCGGUGGAAUGCGUAGAUAUCGGGAGGAACACCAGUGGCGAAGGCGGCCUACUGGGCAUCAACUGACGCUGAGGCUCGAAAGCAUGGGUAGCAAACAGGAUUAGAUACCCUGGUAGUCCAUGCUGUAAACGAUGAUUACUAGGUGUGGGAAGAUUGACCCUUUCCGUGCCGCAGUUAACACAAUAAGUAAUCCACCUGGGGAGUACGACCGCAAGGUUGAA
This 374-nucleotide ribosomal RNA is filed under the name uncultured bacterium. RNAcentral describes it as "bacterial SSU rRNA". It matches the Rfam family "Bacterial small subunit ribosomal RNA", at positions 524 to 898 of the family's 1533-position model. The record is from RNAcentral.